CAAUGGUAGGCUACACUGAUGAGGGGCAGUCUUGGAGUAUUUAGCAGCCGAGCAUAUUGGCGAAUCAUCCUCCAUGGGAGAUAAUUCAGAGUCUAGCUGUACGACUAAUAAGGUUGGACAUGAAUACUCUCAAAACAUUGAUUUGGAUAGAUAUAUGUAACAAUUUGGGAGAACUCCUAUCGAGAUCGAUCAUGUAUGGGAGAAAACAAUUUACAACAAUGCAACAAGGUUUAGCAAUGCCAUUGGUACCAACGUUCGGGAAUAUUUUUCUGUUCGUUAUGGAUCAUGGAUAGAGGUACCAAUAGAAACAAGAGAGCUAGUUAAAAGUCGAUUAUUGAACCAUUUUGUGAUAGAGUUGUCCAGCGAACCGGUCAAUAUCAUCGAUGAACAGAUGAAAAUUUCGUUCAAAGAGUAUAGAGGGAAUUACAAAAACACUAUAAAAAAACAUGCAAGUCCUGAAAAGGCACGAGCACACCCA
Molecule: non-coding RNA, 478 nt
Organism: Benincasa hispida (wax gourd)
Lineage: Eukaryota; Viridiplantae; Streptophyta; Magnoliopsida; Cucurbitales; Cucurbitaceae
Source: RefSeq, a predicted model, not a curated record